RNAcentral lists this ribosomal RNA (21 nucleotides) under Amphichorda felina. RNAcentral describes it as "Beauveria felina partial 28S ribosomal RNA". Lineage: Eukaryota; Fungi; Ascomycota; Sordariomycetes; Hypocreales; Bionectriaceae. The record is from RNAcentral. RNAcentral also lists the same sequence under 2 other names.
GUUGACCUCGGAUCAGGUAGA